CGAAGCUAGGGCCACCAUGGCGGACCGCAGGCGGCGGCUCCGGCCGGGGACGUUGGCCCCGGUGCGCGAGGGCGUGAACUGCAGGUCCAGCUCUUAUCAAAGGUGCUGGAAGUGCUUGAUCCUGACCGGAAGCUGGAGGACACAUGGGCUUAUUGUCAGGACACCAGGAAAGGAAUGAAGGAACCCACGAAGCUUUUAAAAAAACAUUCUACCCAAGUCUACCUGGGACCUUCCUUGAGAAUAUGUAUAUCGGGAAGGAAUGUAAACGUGCAUGUAAUAAGACUCCUAUAAAACGAACUCAAGCAUAGAAGAAUCGUAGGAGAAUGAUUAGGCAGAUUUUAUUACUACGUACUUGGCUAUUUCUCUGUCUCCUUUUAAAGAUUAAACAGAGUUUAUGAUGAGUGUCCCACUGUGGAUGUUCAACUUUGACUUGGCAACAUCUGUAAAUGUAAUACCUGAUGGUUAUAAGCAUUUCUCAAUGGAUUUCUGCUUCAGUUAAUCAACAUUUUGUAUACUUUAUCACCCAUGAGAUCAAUAUUCACAUGUAAUCUUCUCAUAUUUUUGUGGCACGUGAAUAUUAUAUAGGUAUAUCAACUAUUGGUAAAAAUAAAUAAAGGCAUAAAU
RNAcentral lists this long non-coding RNA (624 nucleotides) under Homo sapiens (human). Its description in RNAcentral is "HSALNT0073913". The record is from RNAcentral. Lineage: Eukaryota; Metazoa; Chordata; Mammalia; Primates; Hominidae.